GAUGAACGCUGGCGGCGUGCCUAAUACAUGCAAGUCGAACGGGGAGUAGCAAUACUCUUAGUGGCGAACGGGUGAGUAACGCGUUGGUACCUGCCCCGAAGCGGGGGAUAACGGACCGAAAGGUCCGCUAAUACCCCAUGUGCUCGGUAACGAGUAAAGGUGAAAACCACUUUGGGAGGGGCCUGCGUCCCAUCAGCUAGUUGGUAAGGUAACGGCUUACCAAGGCGAUGACGGGUAGGGGACCUGAGAGGGUGGCCCCCCACAAUGGAACUGAAACACGGUCCAUACACCUACGGAUGGCAGCAGUAGGGAAUAUUGGGAAUGGGCGCAAGCCUGAACCAGCAACGCCGCGUGUGCGAUGACGGCCUUCGGGUUGUAAAUCACUUUUGACUGGGACGAGGAAGGACGGUACCGGUCGAAUCAGCCUCGGCUAACUACGUG
Molecule: ribosomal RNA, 441 nt
Filed under: uncultured bacterium
Lineage: Bacteria
Description: partial 16S ribosomal RNA
Rfam family: Bacterial small subunit ribosomal RNA
Source: RNAcentral